This 621-nucleotide ribosomal RNA is filed under the name uncultured Vibrio sp. RNAcentral's name for it is "bacterial SSU rRNA". It matches the Rfam family "Bacterial small subunit ribosomal RNA", at positions 56 to 657 of the family's 1533-position model. The record is from RNAcentral. Lineage: Bacteria; Pseudomonadati; Pseudomonadota; Gammaproteobacteria; Vibrionales; Vibrionaceae.
UGCAGUCGAGCGGCAGCGACAACAUUGAUUCUUCGGAGGAUUUGUUGGGCGGCGAGCGGCGGACGGGUGAGUAAUGGCUGGGAACCUGCCCUGACGUGGGGGAUAACAGUUGGAAACGACUGCUAAUACCGCAUGAUGUCUUCGGACCAAAGAGGAGGACCUUCGGGCUUCUCGCGUCGGGAUGGGCCCAGUUGGGAUUAGCUAGUUGGUGAGGUAAUGGCUCACCAAGGCGACGAUCCCUAGCUGGUUUGAGAGGAUGAUCAGCCACACUGGAACUGAGACACGGUCCAGACUCCUACGGGAGGCAGCAGUGGGGAAUAUUGCACAAUGGGCGCAAGCCUGAUGCAGCCAUGCCGCGUGUGUGAAGAAGGCCUUCGGGUUGUAAAGCACUUUCAGCAGUGAGGAAGGCGUAGUGGUUAAUACCCGCUGCGCUUGACGUUAGCUGCAGAAGAAGCACCGGCUAACUCCGUGCCAGCAGCCGCGGUAAUACGGAGGGUGCGAGCGUUAAUCGGAAUUACUGGGCGUAAAGCGCAUGCAGGCGGUUUGUUAAGCAAGAUGUGAAAGCCCUGGGCUCAACCUGGGAACCGCAUUUUGAACUGGCAGGCUAGAGUCUUGUAAGGG